AAGACCUUUUGUUAAAAAAAAAAUAAGUACAUAUCUAUUUAACAUAACUCAUAUUGGUCAGCACACUUAAAAUUUGGCCAGUACACUACAUGAGUGCAAUCUUUCUCGCUGAAGAAAUAGAUCUUGAGCCUAAUAAAAUUCGGUUAAUAAAAUUCGCUUAUAACUUAUGAAAUAUGGAUUCUUCAAAUCAUAUAAGAAGAUAAAUUUCCUCAUACUCAUCCAUGUUGGACAAUUUAAUACCACCCACACUCGGAGAUGUGAAUUCUUCAAAAUCAUAGAAGAAGAAAAAUUUCCUCCGGGCUCCUACUCAUCCAUGUAGGACAAUUCAACGCCACCUACAUUGAUCAAUUAAAGUGAUACAAUUUAACAUUAAAUAGAAAUAAAGUGUUUUGAUUCAAAUAUCAUAAUAAUACCAUAAAUCUUAAAUCUAACUUAACGAUAAAAAUUAGUGAAAAACGUGAGGAUCGUAUAAAACAAAACAAAUUUCUUCCCACCCAACCAAUAUGGCACAAUUCAAUACUUUCUUUACGUAUCAACUAUUAAGUGCACAUAUUUUGAUGCAUUCUUUCAACAAACUCAUUCUUCCCCACUUGUACACCAAUAUUAUAUAGUGGUCCACAGAAAGUGAAUAUGGCAGAAGAAUCAAAUAUUGUUCUAUAGUACAAAUCCAAGAAUAUGCCAAUUAUGGGUGACAGAGUCAAAAUUACAACUAAGCAAUAUCGAAAUAUAAAAAAGUCAAAUUGUAUACAAGUCAAGAAAUGUUAAUAGGUGAUAUAUACAUUAAAAAUGAUUUUUUUUAUGUUACUACAUAAUGUAUUAUUUUAUCGAAGGAGUACAGAUCGACAUCCCUCAAGUUUAUGUGGCUCCGCCACUACGCCAAUGCAUCUCAAUCAUGUUACAUUGGUCUUAAUUCAUUUGCAUUCAAGCGGUUUCAUAAUUUAAAUGUUUAAUACUAUAAUAAAAAACUAAAUUUAGAACUAAACAUUCAUACAUAUAUAGUGAAUUUUUCAAUAGGUAUAUACAAGAUUUAGCACAAUUCCUCCCUUGGUAGAGAAAGAAAAAAACUUUUGUCAUAAAUUUCUAAAGUGACACUUAUUUUAAUACGAGUUGGUAUAAGAUUAGCUCUUGGCCUCUAGAAUAAAAUGAAAUUACCUUUGAAGGGGUGGAAGUAAAGAGCAUGGGCAAUUGGAAGACCGAACACAAAUUAAUUCAAAUUUGCAUUGGGUGCACUCUUUAAAGGAGGUAAAACGAUCCCUAUAAGGAGGUAUAACAAUUUCUUUAUGCAAUGAGAAAUUUACCAAAUUUGGAGGGGCAUGAGAAAAAUCUUUUCGAAACGAUUUUUUGAAUCAAGACAUUCAAAAGGGGUAGGUAUGACAACUAAUUAAUAGGCCUUCAUUACCUUUGUCUAUUUCAUACUGAAGUAGACAUCUAUACACAAAGGAAGGGUGGCCCGCGGCUAGGUACAAGUUGAUGAUAGGAAUCUAAGCAACAACGUCAUCCAAUUAAUUUCACAUGAUACAUGUCAGCUCCAUCAGCAAGCAAGACAACAACAAGCACCAGAUAACUCCGUCGACCAAGUAACACUAUACUAGGAGAUGUAUUUUUUUAUAAAUACACCACACUUGGGAUUUCUCUUCUCUGCUUAUUUAUUUCUCCUCUUUCUCACCUUCAAGUUAAGCCAUCUAUAUAUGUCUUUCUAGUUCUUGGACAAAAAGCUCUAACAAAACACAUGGCUAAGGCUCCUAUAAUGAGGUUCUCAACAGAAGUUGCUCCCCCAAAAUUUACCAUUGUGGUGAAGUCUCCGCCACCAAAAAAAAAAAUUAGGACACCAUUAUUGAGGAAGAAGCUUAUGUCGUAUCUAUUACUGUUUCAUCUUCUCUAGACAAAAAGAGAAAUACCAUAAAAGUUCUCUCUCCACACAAUUCUAUGGCCUUGUAACUAUCUAUAUAGUAAGUGUCUCGAAGAAAGGGCCCCUUUGGUUAAAUAAGAACAAUCCCAGAUUCAACUCAGUUGUUUUUACCAUUAGCAAGAACGUGUUCCAAUUACAUAUCAUGCUAACAACUACUUGAAAUACAGUAUUAGAAGUACCAUUUUAAUUAUUUGUUUCCUUUUCAAUUUUUACCUGUUGUGCUGUCUGCCAUUUUACAGCUUAUAUUAUAUGAUGAAUAAAAGGGAAAAACUUUUUGUGUUGUUCUGUUGUACAAGCAGAAGGGUAAAUGUUAAACCAAAGAGAUUGUGAAAAAAAGAUGGAAAACAGUAAGAGAAGCUUCAUAUUUCAUGCAUCACGAGUUGUACUAAAGUGGUUAUGAAGAGCUAGAUCUGCAAUGAACACUGUUACUCCUAUUAGCUGUAGUAUAUAACAGUUAGAAUUUGCAAAUUACCACGAUAAAAUGAUGAAAUGGAGGAGGGGAAAGAAGAAGGUUCAUAUUUUUGCAUUGCGAUACUUAAAAACAGAAAUGUGAAAAAUCAUGUCAAAUUCCCAAAAUGGAGAGUGUUUGAUUCGGAUAUCAUAAUAAACAAUAAAACUUGAAACAAAACAAAUUACUUACCACCCACCGGUAUGGAACAAUUCAACACUUCUUUACGUAUCUAAUGCACACAAAUUUUGAUGAAUCUAUCUUACCAACCAUGUUGUUUUUCCACCACUUGUACCUAAGUACGAACUUGUUCACUGUUAAACCAGUAACUGUAAUAAUGAAAAGGAGCUCAACAGGAAGAUACAGAGGAAAGGAUAACUGGAGAGAAAAGGAACCAUCCUCAUGUAGGAAAUAUGGAAGGAAAAUAAUAUCCUUAGAAAAUAUUCAAGCUUAUUAUAGGCUACUUAAGGUUAGUUGAGAUGAUUAGAAUCAUCAACUAAUCACUAUUUAUACUACUCAAAAUAGCAAACAAAAAGUCUUGCACAAAUAACUAAAUAC
RNAcentral lists this long non-coding RNA (2915 nucleotides) under Solanum lycopersicum (tomato). RNAcentral's name for it is "long non-coding RNA (SLYC_LNC001385)". The record is from RNAcentral. Lineage: Eukaryota; Viridiplantae; Streptophyta; Magnoliopsida; Solanales; Solanaceae.